AGUUAACACACAUACAGGAUGAUGUUUGUGUCACAUGUGAAACUAUGUGAAGUGAACUGACUUCUUCUAACGUCUGGAAGUUGGAAGGAGCUGUUGUGUUGCUUCGUAUGGAGCGAGCAGCAGAGAUGAAGAGUUGCAGGCCUCGUCUGAACGCAUCAUGUCUUGUGUUGGCUUUGCAUUCUGGUCUUUGGAGGCGUCUGUCAGUGUGGGCUGUUAUCUCUGCCGCUCCCGGGACGGAUCUCUCCUUGUAUGAUUGCUGAACGCCGUGAAAAUGGCUUCACUGUAGCUGCUCUGGAACAUCCUGACACCAGAUCACAGUCUCUGACUGGCCGGAUCCUCCGGAGUGAAACAAACGACAGAGCUGGAAGAUGAGACCAGAACCAGGCGAUCCAUCGACACCAGCUGCUUCUGUUCACAAUUUAAAGACAGUUUGGCUUGAAUUAGAUUUCCUGUGCUGAUCACUGAGACGCUCUCUUCUGUUUCACAGCUGUCCUCAUAUUUCCAGAUGUCUCCAGCCAUCUUCAUGAAGCCUCUCGUCCUCUCGGGCUGAACUCUGAGUCCAGAGAGCAAACUGGACCUUCAGACCACAUCAGCUCAAGCUCACACUGACUCACUUCACAUUCAUGUAUUUUAAU
This is a long non-coding RNA of Acanthopagrus latus (yellowfin seabream), 635 nucleotides long. RefSeq lists it as uncharacterized. NCBI's taxonomy places the organism in Eukaryota, Metazoa, Chordata, Actinopteri, Spariformes, Sparidae. The record is from RefSeq and is a predicted model, not a curated record. The transcript has 3 exons.